UCAAUUUGAUGCAACUCAAUACAUUGAUUGCAAAAAUAGGUCUUACAAAGGAAGGCCUCAUCAUGGAGAGAGGAUCGCCAGCAAGAGCCUAGUGCAUUGAUCAAUGGAAGAUCUAUAAAUAUGAUGCAUGUAGCAAGUGCGAGCAAUGGAUUCUUCUCAAAGUUAAACAAGAGCAUUACUUCCAUGGUGAUGACGUUCUAGAUGUUGAGUUUAAUGAAUUACACCAACUAUUCCACCAGGAGGCUCUUGACAAAUGUCUCCUCAGCGGCUGGUGUCUACAGUGAUUCUGUCUAUAAUUGAAGUCACUUGUUUGUUACUACCUCCAUCCAUUUAUCAGAGUCAUCUUAGCGAAAAAUUCUCUAAGAAACAGAGUUAUCUAAGCUAGGGACCACUAUUUUCAUCUUUUUCCAAGCACAUGUGGCUCCACUCACUGGUCUAAUUAAGUCAACCAUCUGCAUGCAUCUCCUUUCACUGGCCGAAUUAAUUUCCCCUUGAUCACUGCGUAUGCCCCUAAAAUGACUCCGAUAAAUGGAUGGAGGGAGUAGUUCAUUGUCUAUAUAUAAUUAUCCUCACACUAUAUUUAUUUAUACUAUAUAUGUGCAGACAUCAGAUACUAAACCUUAAAAACAAUGGGGUCUUCGAUAUUGGUUUCAUGGAUCCAUAUAUCAUAUUCAAUGACAAUAUUACUAAAUGGCCACAUCAAGUGGAGAAGAAUAUGUUGAAGUUCUUAGAUAACCAACAUCACAAGACAACGAUACUCUUACCUUCCAACUUCGAGUGAGUGUUGAUUGUAAUUAAUGGGUUUUCCAAAUGUGUAUAAAUAUGCAACUUUCACUAGUUACCGGUGAUUGUCAUUGAUCUUUCCAAAAGUCAUAUAAAAAAUUGACUCAGUGAGGAAACCCCAAUUAGAGUAUCAAUAUAUGAUAGAUCUUCUUUAGAGGUAAUUUUGGUCUCGCACACUAUACGUUUUAUGCCAUUUUAUUGAGAUAUCAUGGGGAAUAGCUCCAUUUAUUUAUUUUCUUGGGCAAUGUUUGGGCUCUGUUCACUAAGAAUAACCAUGGUGAUUGGAAGGUGCCAUUGGAUAUAGUCAAAUACCCAGUAAGUACUAGCUAGGUCCCCGCAUCUUUAUUUAUUUCAAUUGAUUAUUAUCAUUCUUGAUUGGUUGAUGAAUCUUUUUGGCAUAAAGUAGUGUCUGUUGCAGGAAAACAGAAAUAAUUUUUGUGGAUACUACAUUUUGCGAGUUCCUCAUACAGUACUCAUUGAAAACAAGUGAAGAGAUCCUCGAAGAUUCAGGAAUCAGCAGUCCUGGCAUGGAGCAGGCACAGGAUAAUUUGGAUCAAUCUCCAUUAAUAGUGUUAGCCGCAGCACAUGCAGUUGCUGGGCCGGUGUCACACGCCCUUCAUAUGCCUAACAAUCAUACAAAUCAGUCUAGCUCAGAUUGCCAGGUGGAUGUUUAUGGAGAUCAUAAGCAACAUGUAGUAGAGUUAGUAUUAUCUCAAUUUUUUCUUUCCAUGAAGCAUAGUUGCUUCCAUUAAGUUGCUGAAUGCUGUUAAUUGUACCAGCAAUUUGAGAGGCAUUAGAUGCUACAUAGAAAGAAAAUAUUUAGUAUGCAUCGUUGUAAACUUGUUCGCUUGAGCUUAUCAGCCG
This is a long non-coding RNA of Sorghum bicolor (sorghum), 1647 nucleotides long. RefSeq lists it as uncharacterized. The transcript has 4 exons. NCBI's taxonomy places the organism in Eukaryota, Viridiplantae, Streptophyta, Magnoliopsida, Poales, Poaceae. The record is from RefSeq and is a predicted model, not a curated record.